RNAcentral lists this non-coding RNA (29 nucleotides) under Rattus norvegicus (Norway rat). The record is from RNAcentral. Lineage: Eukaryota; Metazoa; Chordata; Mammalia; Rodentia; Muridae.
UUCAGGAUCAGUGAAGCUGGAGAUCUUGU